CCCUGUGUUGUAGGGACUGUAGCAGAUUCAGUGGUUUUGUAGGGCAGUGCCACAUAAAUAGCAGGUAACGUUGAGUUUUCUGUCUGGGCCACGUGCUAAAAUGAAGUCAGAAACCACAUUCACAGUAUGAUGAGAGCGCUGUGUGGAGGCAAGCCUGGACCUGGGUCGUGUUGUCAUCUCUGCCUGGUUGUGACAUCUACACCUUGGUCUGGAACCAAACCCACAAUAUCUCCUAGCUAUGCCUGUAUUGUCUUAUCAUGUACCAGGCACUGUUCUAGGUCCUGGGAAUACAGCCAUGAACAAAAGUGACAAAGAUCCCUACCCUCAUGGAGUUUAUGUUUUCAUGGGAAAGACAGGCCCAGCUCAAAUGCCACAUCCUCCACAAUGUCAUCCUUAAUCCCCCAAAUUAGAAGCAAGUUUUCCUUCCCUCCUUUACUUCUGUAACCCUUGCUUUGAACCUUAUUACAUAGCACCAUAUAUGAUAUACCUAAGUGCUUGUUUUUGUGGCUCAAUUUGACUUUCUUCUUGGAGUAUAAAUUCCUGGAGGUCAAGGACUGUGCUAUAUAUGCUAGCCUCCCUGUGGGUGUUUUGUACUGGCCUCCCUGCCUUUAUGGGGACAGGGAGGGACUUCACUGGUCACCACCGCAGUGUGAGAGUCAUGUAAGACUUAAGAGUGUCCUAGUAGAUCAAGGAUUGCAGUGGUUGAUGGAGAGUGUGAUCUUUUCUAGAAAUCUUUACAAAUGGCUGUGUCCUCAUUGGACUGAGGUGAGUGAAGUGGAGACCUGCUGCAAAAUGAACUGUUGUGAUUCUGUAAGGAUAAUGUCCAUGGGUCCUGUGGGCCUGCAUUGCUGGGAUGCCCUGUCCCCCUGUAGCAAACAGCCAAUAGCUUCAAAGUACGUGUGUCAACAGGGACCUGGCUGAGUAAGGGCUCAGCAGUGGAUUUGGACCACAUCAGGGUUUCUUCAGAGGGGAUUAACGUGUAUCUGAAUGUUUUCACCCAAACUACCCAGCAGGGAAAUCCUUCACAACAAACAUCAUAGUACAAAUGAGAAGCUUACCUUUUUUUCCUGUCUGAGGCCUGUCAAUCUCACAAAUACAACACAAGGCAAGGCCAAGGCCAAGACCUGACUGAUUCGACUGGUAAGGAUACUCUGAGCCACUUUUAGGUUUAGAUAGUUUAGUACUUACAUAGGCAGUGAAAAGAAGAAUAAGCUCAAAGUGCCAGCUUUAUGUGGUCCUCGUCCCACACACUAAAAGGAUAACACGGAAACAAAAGGGGGCCAGAUGAUCACA
Long non-coding RNA from Hippopotamus amphibius kiboko, 1293 nucleotides. RefSeq lists it as uncharacterized. The record is from RefSeq and is a predicted model, not a curated record. NCBI's taxonomy places the organism in Eukaryota, Metazoa, Chordata, Mammalia, Artiodactyla, Hippopotamidae. The transcript has 3 exons.